RNAcentral lists this small nuclear RNA (23 nucleotides) under Arabidopsis thaliana (thale cress). RNAcentral's name for it is "snRNA_17490". Lineage: Eukaryota; Viridiplantae; Streptophyta; Magnoliopsida; Brassicales; Brassicaceae. The record is from RNAcentral.
GUUUGAAGGGGAGAUUGUUGGGU